Molecule: long non-coding RNA, 237 nt
Filed under: Anas platyrhynchos platyrhynchos (common mallard)
Lineage: Eukaryota; Metazoa; Chordata; Aves; Anseriformes; Anatidae
Description: lncRNA (ENSAPLG00000029060.1)
Source: RNAcentral
GAGCUUUCAGUCUUCAUUAAAAAAAAAAAAAAAAGAAAAAAAAAAGAAAAAAAAAUGUGAAAAGCCCCAGACAGUUUCAGCUGAGUGGAAGAAAGUGCCUACAAGGCCUACAUAGGUUCUUCAGUCUGCAAACCUCCCUUUGAGAACGUUUCUUUCAACUCACAUUGCUGGAGCUCCUAAAUAUCUUUCAAGAACCAUGCUUCAGACAGAAAUAUUGAAAUUUGUAUGGCACACAGA